This is a non-coding RNA of Populus trichocarpa (black cottonwood), 156 nucleotides long. NCBI's taxonomy places the organism in Eukaryota, Viridiplantae, Streptophyta, Magnoliopsida, Malpighiales, Salicaceae. The record is from Rfam.
UCUAGAACUCGAGAUAUGGGCAGAACACUGAAUAGUGUCUGGGCUGCAGGACAGAUUCGGACUUCUUUGUUGUUGCUACAAUUUGGACUUGAAAACGGCCUUGUUAAAUCUUGGGCUCCACAUGAAAGUUGUAGGCCUAUGCCUUACCUUUCCAUC